AGAGUUUGAUCCUGGCUCAGGACGAACGCUGGCGGCGUGCCUAAUACAUGCAAGUCGAACGCUUCUUUUUCCACCGGAGCUUGCUCCACCGGAAAAAGAGGAGUGGCGAACGGGUGAGUAACACGUGGGUAACCUGCCCAUCAGAAGGGGAUAACACUUGGAAACAGGUGCUAAUACCGUAUAACAAUCGAAACCGCAUGGUUUUGAUUUGAAAGGCGCUUUCGGGUGUCGCUGAUGGAUGGACCCGCGGUGCAUUAGCUAGUUGGUGAGGUAACGGCUCACCAAGGCCACGAUGCAUAGCCGACCUGAGAGGGUGAUCGGCCACAUUGGGACUGAGACACGGCCCAAACUCCUACGGGAGGCAGCAGUAGGGAAUCUUCGGCAAUGGACGAAAGUCUGACCGAGCAACGCCGCGUGAGUGAAGAAGGUUUUCGGAUCGUAAAACUCUGUUGUUAGAGAAGAACAAGGAUGAGAGUAACUGUUCAUCCCUUGACGGUAUCUAACCAGAAAGCCACGGCUAACUACGUGCCAGCAGCCGCGGUAAUACGUAGGUGGCAAGCGUUGUCCGGAUUUAUUGGGCGUAAAGCGAGCGCAGGCGGUUUCUUAAGUCUGAUGUGAAAGCCCCCGGCUCAACCGGGGAGGGUCAUUGGAAACUGGGAGACUUGAGUGCAGAAGAGGAGAGUGGAAUUCCAUGUGUAGCGGUGAAAUGCGUAGAUAUAUGGAGGAACACCAGUGGCGAAGGCGGCUCUCUGGUCUGUAACUGACGCUGAGGCUCGAAAGCGUGGGGAGCAAACAGGAUUAGAUACCCUGGUAGUCCACGCCGUAAACGAUGAGUGCUAAGUGUUGGAGGGUUUCCGCCCUUCAGUGCUGCAGCUAACGCAUUAAGCACUCCGCCUGGGGAGUACGACCGCAAGGUUGAAACUCAAAGGAAUUGACGGGGGCCCGCACAAGCGGUGGAGCAUGUGGUUUAAUUCGAAGCAACGCGAAGAACCUUACCAGGUCUUGACAUCCUUU
Molecule: ribosomal RNA, 1014 nt
Filed under: Enterococcus faecium EnGen0031
Lineage: Bacteria; Bacillati; Bacillota; Bacilli; Lactobacillales; Enterococcaceae
Also listed under: 1 other name
Description: bacterial SSU rRNA
Rfam family: Bacterial small subunit ribosomal RNA
Source: RNAcentral